UCCUUGGUAUCUCAGAUGGUAGAGAAUCUGCCUGCAGUGCAGGAGACCUGGGUUCAGUCCCUGGGUUGGGAA
RNAcentral lists this transfer RNA (72 nucleotides) under Capra hircus (goat). It matches the Rfam family "tRNA". From Rfam's summary of the family: Transfer RNA (tRNA) molecules are approximately 80 nucleotides in length. Their secondary structure includes four short double-helical elements and three loops (D, anti-codon, and T loops). RNAcentral also lists the same sequence under 1 other name. Lineage: Eukaryota; Metazoa; Chordata; Mammalia; Artiodactyla; Bovidae. The record is from Rfam by way of RNAcentral.